RNAcentral lists this ribosomal RNA (303 nucleotides) under uncultured bacterium. RNAcentral describes it as "partial 16S ribosomal RNA". It matches the Rfam family "Bacterial small subunit ribosomal RNA", at positions 507 to 809 of the family's 1533-position model. The record is from RNAcentral.
AGCAGUCGCCGCGGUAAUACGGAGGGUGCAAGCGUUAAUCGGAAUUACUGGGCGUAAAGCGCACGCAGGCGGUCUGACAAGUCAGAUGUGAAAUCCCCGGGCUUAACCUGGGAACUGCAUUUGAAACUGUCAGGCUGGAGUCUUGUAGAGGGGGGUGGAAUUCCAGGUGUAGCGGUGAAAUGCGUAGAGAUCUGGAGGAAUACCGGUGGCGAAGGCGGCCCCCUGGACAAAGACUGACGCUCAGGUGCGAAAGCGUGGGGAGCAAACAGGAUUAGAUACCCGAGUAGUCCCUGUCUCUUAUAA